This 252-nucleotide ribosomal RNA is filed under the name uncultured prokaryote. RNAcentral describes it as "partial 16S ribosomal RNA". It matches the Rfam family "Bacterial small subunit ribosomal RNA", at positions 525 to 777 of the family's 1533-position model. The record is from RNAcentral.
ACGUAGGGGCAAGCGUUGUCCGGAUUUAUUGGGCGUAAAGAGCGUGUAGGCGGCUGGGUAGGUCCGUUGUGAAAACUCGAGGCUCAACCUCGAGACGCCGAUGGAAACCCCCCAGCUAGAGUCCGGAAGAGGAGAGUGGAAUUCCUGGUGUAGCGGUGAAAUGCGCAGAUAUCAGGAGGAACACCGAUAGCGAAGGCAGCUCGCUGGGACGGUACUGACGCUGAGGCGCGAAAGCGUGGGGAGCGAACAGGA